UGCAAUAAGAUGAUAAUGAUGUUUACAGAUGGAGGAGAGGAUCGUGCCCAGGACAUUUUUGAGAAGUACAACUGGCCCAACAAAACCAUUCGAGUGUUUACCUUUUCAGUCGGGCAGCACAACUACGAUGUCACGCCUUUGCAGUGGAUAGCUUGUGCCAAUAAAGGAUUCUACUACGAGAUUCCAUCCAUUGGCGCCAUCAGAAUUAACACGCAGG
This is a long non-coding RNA of Salvelinus sp. IW2-2015, 217 nucleotides long. RefSeq lists it as uncharacterized. Lineage: Eukaryota; Metazoa; Chordata; Actinopteri; Salmoniformes; Salmonidae. The record is from RefSeq and is a predicted model, not a curated record.